This 394-nucleotide ribosomal RNA is filed under the name uncultured bacterium. RNAcentral's name for it is "bacterial SSU rRNA". It matches the Rfam family "Bacterial small subunit ribosomal RNA", at positions 355 to 766 of the family's 1533-position model. The record is from RNAcentral.
UGGGGAAUAUUGCGCAAUGGGGGAAACCCUGACGCAGCCAUGCCGCGUGAGUGAAGAAGGUCUUCGGAUCGUAAAGCUCUUUCAACGGUGAAGAUGAUGACGGUAGCCGUAGAAGAAGCCCCGGCUAACUCCGUGCCAGCAGCCGCGGUAAUACGGAGGGGGCAAGCGUUAUUCGGAAUUACUGGGCGUAAAGGGCGUGUAGGCGGCUUGAUAGGUCAAAGGUGAAAGCCCUCGGCUCAACCGAGGAAAUGCCUCUGAAACUGUCUGGCUCGAGGCUGGGAGAGGACAGCGGAAUUCCUGGUGUAGCGGUGAAAUGCGUAGAUAUUUGGAGGAACACCAGUGGCGAAGGCGGUCACCUGGGCCAGUACUGACGCUGAGGCGCGAAAGCGUGGGG